Erinaceus europaeus (western European hedgehog) is the source of this 153-nucleotide small nuclear RNA. Its record names the gene U1. It matches the Rfam family "U1 spliceosomal RNA". From Rfam's summary of the family: U1 is a small nuclear RNA (snRNA) component of the spliceosome (involved in pre-mRNA splicing). Lineage: Eukaryota; Metazoa; Chordata; Mammalia; Eulipotyphla; Erinaceidae. The record is from Ensembl.
AUACUUACCUGGCAGGGGAGAUACCAUGAUCACGAAGGUGGUUUUCCCAGGGCGAGGCUUAUCCAUUGCACUCCGGAUGUGCUGACCCCUGCGAUUUCCCCAAAUGUGGGAAACUCGACUGCAUGUGGGGGACUGCGUUCGUGCUCUCCCCUG